This 269-nucleotide long non-coding RNA is filed under the name Ursus maritimus (polar bear). RNAcentral's name for it is "lncRNA (ENSUMAG00000021693.1)". The record is from RNAcentral. Lineage: Eukaryota; Metazoa; Chordata; Mammalia; Carnivora; Ursidae.
UUUUUAUCUGCUUUUUAUAGCACAGUUAUAACUGUGACCUUAUUUGAAAAUAGGGACACUGCAGAUGUAAUCAGGAUGAAGUCAUACAGAGACGAAAAGCUUUCAAGAUUAAGGCAAAAUAAAGAUGUUUUUGGACAAAGAAAAGCUGGAAGAAGUCACUGCCAACAGUCUUGAUUAAGGAAAAUGAUCCUAAAUCCUCAGGAGGAAAAAAGAAUACAAGCAAGGGUGUUUCCAGUUAAAGUAAAAUUGUGAUGACACAUCCCUAAAGG